RNAcentral lists this ribosomal RNA (522 nucleotides) under uncultured Bacteroidales bacterium. Its description in RNAcentral is "bacterial SSU rRNA". It matches the Rfam family "Bacterial small subunit ribosomal RNA", at positions 8 to 523 of the family's 1533-position model. The record is from RNAcentral. Lineage: Bacteria; Pseudomonadati; Bacteroidota; Bacteroidia; Bacteroidales.
AGAGUUUGAUCCUGGCUCAGGAUGAACGCUAGCGGGAGGCUUAACACAUGCAAGUCGAGGGGCAGCACGGGAUAGCAAUAUUCUGGUGGCGACCGGCGCACGGGUGAGUAACACGUAUGCAACCUACCUCGUACAGGGGGAUAACCCGGAGAAAUUCGGACUAAUAUCCCAUAAUGAUAUUGAGAGGCAUCUUUUAAUAUUUAAAGCUCAGGCGGUACGGGAUGGGCAUGCGGAACAUUAGCUAGUUGGCAGGGUAACGGCCUACCAAGGCUGCGAUGUUUAGGGGACCUGAGAGGGUUAUCCCCCACACUGGUACUGAGACACGGACCAGACUCCUACGGGAGGCAGCAGUGAGGAAUAUUGGUCAAUGGGCGCAAGCCUGAACCAGCCAUCCCGCGUGAAGGAAGAAGGCGCUAUGCGUUGUAAACUUCUUUUCCAGGGGGAGAAUUUUUCCGUCGUGACGGGAAUUGACGGUACUCUGGGAAUAAGCAUCGGCUAACUCCGUGCCAGCAGCCGCGGUAA